Molecule: ribosomal RNA, 253 nt
Filed under: uncultured bacterium
Lineage: Bacteria
Description: partial 16S ribosomal RNA
Rfam family: Bacterial small subunit ribosomal RNA
Source: RNAcentral
UACGUAGGGGGCUAGCGUUGUCCGGAAUCAUUGGGCGUAAAGCGCGUGUAGGCGGCCCGGUAAGUCCGCUGUGAAAGUCCAGGGCUCAACCCUCGAAUGCCGGUGGAUACUGUCGGGCUAGAGUGCGGAAGAGGCGAGUGGAAUUCCUGGUGUAGCGGUGAAAUGCGCAGAUAUCAGGAGGAACACCAAUUGCGAAGGCAGCUCGCUGGGACGUAACUGACGCUGAGACGCGAAAGCGUGGGGAGCAAACAGG